Long non-coding RNA from Mirounga angustirostris (Northern elephant seal), 2736 nucleotides. RefSeq lists it as uncharacterized. The record is from RefSeq and is a predicted model, not a curated record. The transcript is spliced from 4 exons. Lineage: Eukaryota; Metazoa; Chordata; Mammalia; Carnivora; Phocidae.
UUCCAGCAACCCUCAGUUUGUUAACUGAGAUUAAGAAUUCCUCAUAUCGGGAGCAAGAUGGCGGAGGAGUAGGAGACCUAAAUUUCAUCUGGUCCCAGGAAUUCAGCUGGAUAGGGAUCAAACCAUUCUGAACACCUACAAACUCAACAGGAGAUCGAAGAAAAGAAUAGCAACAACUCUCUGAACAGAAAAGCGACCACUUUCUGGAAGUGACUGAUAACGGAUGAAGCAGAUGAGUUUGCUGCAGGGCUUGAAAACAAAAUGAAAAAUCCUGGAGAACCCGACAGUCCUUUGUCCUCUAAGAGAAGGUAGAGGAUGGCCUUGCUGUGAAUGAAAUAGGAAGGAAGAUGGUUUAAAAAAAGGAUUCACGACCUUGAGAAGUUGUUUGGAAGGGAUUGCUCGACUGCCUGGAGACUCGUUGAGGAACGACUGGAUGGUGCCAGGACAGACACCUGCGGGACCCGACAGAAACCUACGGGGCCGUCGCCAGACCCCGCAGCUGCCCUCGCUGACUCACCUCGGCCCCGGAUGGUGGGGGGGGGGGGGGCGCCCUGAAGGCUCUCAGCUCGCCCGCGCCCCCGGACCCCCCCCUCCCCGCACGUCCCCGCCCGGCAGCUGCAGCGUGGCCAUCGCCCCCGCCACUGGGAGCCAGGGCUCGGGGUCUGCCCGGUCCUGGUCCUCCGGGAAGGCGUCCCACCGCCGCCGUCCUACCGCACCCCAGCUCCGUGACCUGGUCCUCCAGCGCCCUCGCGUCCUAGUCCUCGCUGCUGCCACGGCCCCGCAGCCUCCUCCCACCCCGGCGGUGACCUCCUGUGAUGGGCUUUUGCAGCUGGCAGAAGCUCUCUAUUUCCACUGUCCCUGAGAUGUCCUGUGGCUGGGCCUGACGCACGCAGGUGAGUCCUUUAAAGGCAGGCAGCUAUCUCGAUCAGGGAGAAGAGGAAGUCAAGAAGGAUUUGCCACGCGUUGCCGCUUUGAAGGUGUAGGGGUCCACGUGGGAAGGUGUGCAGGAGGACCUAGGACCUGACAGUGGCCCCUGGCUGACACCCAGCAAGGCGAGGGGGACCUCAUGUUUACAGUCUUAAACACGGGAAUAGAGCCUCAACAUAUCAGUCAGGAGGGAGCUGGGAAUGAAAACCACAAUGAGCUAUCACGUCACACCCACAGGGAUAGCUGUUAACAGGUGUUUAACAAGUGUCCUGAGGAGACUGGAACCCUCCCACAUUGCUGGUGGGAAUGCAAAAUGAUGGGGCAUCCUGGCACAACAGGGUGGCAUGUCAUCAAAAAACUACACAUAGGGGCGCCUGGGUGGCUCAGUUGUUAAGCGUCUGCCUUUGGCUCAGGUCACGAUCCCGGGGUCCUGGGAUCAAGCCCCACAUCGGGCUCCCUGCUCCACGGGAAGCCUGCUUCUUCCUCUCCUACUCCCCCUGCUUGUGUUCCCUCUCUCCCUGUCUCUCUUUCUGUCAAAAAAUAAAUAAAAAAUCUUUAAAAGAAAAAACUACACAUAAAGUUACCAAAUGACCCAGCAAUUUCACUUCUAGGUACAUACUCAAGAGACAUAGACACAUGUGUCCACACAAGAACUUGUACAUGAACAGGAUCCAACAUUAUACUGCUUCCACCUCCUUACCCCAACCUUUAGAACCAUUCUCACACAUUUACCCCAGGCUACUGUAUAUCUAUUGGAAAAGACGUGCUGUUGUUUUGGUGAAUAUCACAUCUUGCCAUGGGUCUCAGUUUUUCACUCACUGUCUUGGCCUGUGGGCCCUCGAGUCUAGGUACAGGUUAAGGAGCAGUGAGAGGUGAUGGUAGGAGCUACAGAGGAGGAUAAACAGGGCCCUGCCAGGCCACCAUCUCAGGUGAGACCCUUAGAGGUUCUUCAGGCAAAGGGGAAAUAACCUCUUCAGGUAGGAGUGGAAGGGCUGCCUCUGCUGGCAAAGACACAUAAUUUAGAGGUUCGGGGACCUGGACUCAUUGACAUGCACCCAUAUAUUCCCAUUCCAAUUUCCAGUAUCCUGUUUCUCCCAAUCAGUGCCCUAAUAUUAACAGAAGAGCCCUGGUGAGGUUGUGAAUUUAAUUUGUGCUGUAAUUCAGCCACUCGAAGAUUAAACUUUGGAACUGGAAUCCCCAAAUAUUGCACCCAUGGCUACAAGAGAAUGAUUUCUUUCAGGCCUGUAUCAGGACUUUUCAGGUCCUUCAUUUGGACCUUGAUCUGGGACUGUAAGGUUCCGAGCUCAGUCUUUUCUCUCCUCAAGUUCUGAAGCUCAUUUAGAAACAACAAAUCAACUCCAUAAUACUCCUAUUUUUUUCCUUCAUAAUCUUCCUUAUUUUGAUGAAAAUAUUCUAACAUAUCAUAUACUUGGUGACCCAGAGACUUGUCUUUUUUUUUUAUUCUUAUGUUAAUCCCCAUACAUUACAUCAUUAGUUUUAGAUGAAGUGUUCCAUGAUUCAUUGUUUGUGCAUAACACCCAGUGCUCCAUGCAGAACGUGCCCUCCUCAAUACCCACCACCAGGCUAACCCAUCCUCCCACCCCCCUCCCAUCUAGAACCCCCAGUUUGUUUUUCAGAGUCCAUCGUCUCUCAUGGUUUGUCUACCCCUCCGAUUUCCCCCGCUUCAUUCUUCCCCUCCCGCUACCUUCUUCUUCUUUUUUUUUUUCUUAACAUAUAUUGCAUUAUUUGUUUCACAGGUACAGAUCUGAGAUUCAACAGUCUUGCACAAUUCACAGCGCUUACCAGAGC